This 64-nucleotide transfer RNA is filed under the name Hemisodorcus sinensis. RNAcentral describes it as "tRNA-Ile". The record is from RNAcentral. Lineage: Eukaryota; Metazoa; Arthropoda; Insecta; Coleoptera; Lucanidae.
AAUAAAGUGCCUGAUCAAUAGGGUUGUUUUGAUGGAGCAAAUAAUGUGUGUGCCACCUUUAUUA